This 2926-nucleotide ribosomal RNA is filed under the name Lelliottia nimipressuralis. RNAcentral describes it as "bacterial LSU rRNA". It matches the Rfam family "Bacterial large subunit ribosomal RNA". Lineage: Bacteria; Pseudomonadati; Pseudomonadota; Gammaproteobacteria; Enterobacterales; Enterobacteriaceae. The record is from RNAcentral. RNAcentral also lists the same sequence under 1 other name.
GGGUUGUGAGGUUAAGCGACUAAGCGUACACGGUGGAUGCCCUGGCAGUCAGAGGCGAUGAAGGACGUGCUAAUCUGCGAAAAGCGCCGGCGAGGUGAUAUGAACCUUUGACCCGGCGAUGUCCGAAUGGGGAAACCCAGUGCAAUUCGUUGCACUAUCGUUAACUGAAUACAUAGGUUAACGAGGCGAACCGGGGGAACUGAAACAUCUAAGUACCCCGAGGAAAAGAAAUCAACCGAGAUUCCCCCAGUAGCGGCGAGCGAACGGGGAGCAGCCCAGAGUCUGAAUCAGUUUGUGUGUUAGUGGAAGCGUCUGGAAAGUCGCACGGUACAGGGUGACAGUCCCGUACACGAAAACACACAGGUUGUGAACUCGAAGAGUAGGGCGGGACACGUGAUAUCCUGUCUGAAUAUGGGGGGACCAUCCUCCAAGGCUAAAUACUCCUGACUGACCGAUAGUGAACCAGUACCGUGAGGGAAAGGCGAAAAGAACCCCGGCGAGGGGAGUGAAAAAGAACCUGAAACCGUGUACGUACAAGCAGUGGGAGCACCUUCGUGGUGUGACUGCGUACCUUUUGUAUAAUGGGUCAGCGACUUAUAUUCUGUAGCAAGGUUAACCGUAUAGGGGAGCCGAAGGGAAACCGAGUCUUAACUGGGCGUUAAGUUGCAGGGUAUAGACCCGAAACCCGGUGAUCUAGCCAUGGGCAGGUUGAAGGUUGGGUAACACUAACUGGAGGACCGAACCGACUAAUGUUGAAAAAUUAGCGGAUGACUUGUGGCUGGGGGUGAAAGGCCAAUCAAACCGGGAGAUAGCUGGUUCUCCCCGAAAGCUAUUUAGGUAGCGCCUCGUGAACUCAUCUUCGGGGGUAGAGCACUGUUUCGGCUAGGGGGCCAUCCCGGCUUACCAACCCGAUGCAAACUACGAAUACCGAAGAAUGUUAUCACGGGAGACACACGGCGGGUGCUAACGUCCGUCGUGAAGAGGGAAACAACCCAGACCGCCAGCUAAGGUCCCAAAGUCAUGGUUAAGUGGGAAACGAUGUGGGAAGGCACAGACAGCCAGGAUGUUGGCUUAGAAGCAGCCAUCAUUUAAAGAAAGCGUAAUAGCUCACUGGUCGAGUCGGCCUGCGCGGAAGAUGUAACGGGGCUAAACCAUGCACCGAAGCUGCGGCAGCGACGCUUAUGCGUUGUUGGGUAGGGGAGCGUUCUGUAAGCCGUUGAAGGUGUGCUGUGAGGCAUGCUGGAGGUAUCAGAAGUGCGAAUGCUGACAUAAGUAACGAUAAAGCGGGUGAAAAGCCCGCUCGCCGGAAGACCAAGGGUUCCUGUCCAACGUUAAUCGGGGCAGGGUGAGUCGACCCCUAAGGCGAGGCCGAAAGGCGUAGUCGAUGGGAAACAGGUUAAUAUUCCUGUACUUGGUGUUACUGCGAAGGGGGGACGGAGAAGGCUAUGUUAGCCGGGCGACGGUUGUCCCGGUUUAAGCAUGUAGGCGGAGGUUCCAGGUAAAUCCGGUACCUUUUAACGCUGAGGUGUGAUGACGAGGCACUACGGUGCUGAAGUAACAAAUGCCCUGCUUCCAGGAAAAGCCUCUAAGCAUCAGGUAACAUUAAAUCGUACCCCAAACCGACACAGGUGGUCAGGUAGAGAAUACCAAGGCGCUUGAGAGAACUCGGGUGAAGGAACUAGGCAAAAUGGUGCCGUAACUUCGGGAGAAGGCACGCUGAUAUGUAGGUGAAGCCCCUGCGGGUGGAGCUGAAAUCAGUCGAAGAUACCAGCUGGCUGCAACUGUUUAUUAAAAACACAGCACUGUGCAAACACGAAAGUGGACGUAUACGGUGUGACGCCUGCCCGGUGCCGGAAGGUUAAUUGAUGGGGUUAGCGGCAACGCGAAGCUCUUGAUCGAAGCCCCGGUAAACGGCGGCCGUAACUAUAACGGUCCUAAGGUAGCGAAAUUCCUUGUCGGGUAAGUUCCGACCUGCACGAAUGGCGUAAUGAUGGCCAGGCUGUCUCCACCCGAGACUCAGUGAAAUUGAACUCGCUGUGAAGAUGCAGUGUACCCGCGGCAAGACGGAAAGACCCCGUGAACCUUUACUAUAGCUUGACACUGAACACUGGUCCUUGAUGUGUAGGAUAGGUGGGAGGCUUUGAAGUGUGGACGCCAGUCUGCGUGGAGCCGUCCUUGAAAUACCACCCUUUAAUGGCUGGUGUUCUAACGUAGACCCGUGAUCCGGGUUGCGGACAGUGUCUGGUGGGUAGUUUGACUGGGGCGGUCUCCUCCCAAAGAGUAACGGAGGAGCACGAAGGUUAGCUAAUCCUGGUCGGACAUCAGGAGGUUAGUGCAAUGGCAUAAGCUAGCUUGACUGCGAGAGUGACGGCUCGAGCAGGUGCGAAAGCAGGUCAUAGUGAUCCGGUGGUUCUGAAUGGAAGGGCCAUCGCUCAACGGAUAAAAGGUACUCCGGGGAUAACAGGCUGAUACCGCCCAAGAGUUCAUAUCGACGGCGGUGUUUGGCACCUCGAUGUCGGCUCAUCACAUCCUGGGGCUGAAGUAGGUCCCAAGGGUAUGGCUGUUCGCCAUUUAAAGUGGUACGCGAGCUGGGUUUAGAACGUCGUGAGACAGUUCGGUCCCUAUCUGCCGUGGGCGCUGGAGAAUUGAGGGGGGCUGCUCCUAGUACGAGAGGACCGGAGUGGACGCAUCACUGGUGUUCGGGUUGUCAUGCCAAUGGCACUGCCCGGUAGCUAAAUGCGGAAAAGAUAAGUGCUGAAAGCAUCUAAGCACGAAACUUGCCCCGAGAUGAGUUCUCCCUGACUCCUUGAGAGUCCUGAAGGAACGUUGAAGACGACGACGUUGAUAGGUCGGGUGUGUAAGCGCAGCGAUGCGUUGAGCUAACCGAUACUAAUGAACCGUGAGGCUUAACCUUACAACGCCGAAG